UACGUAGGGUGCAAGCGUUGUCCGGAAUUAUUGGGCGUAAAGCGCGCGCAGGCGGUCCUUUAAGUCUGAUGUGAAAGCCCACGGCUCAACCGUGGAGGGUCAUUGGAAACUGGAGGACUUGAGUACAGAAGAGGAAAGCGGAAUUCCACGUGUAGCGGUGAAAUGCGUAGAGAUCGGGAGGAACACCGGUGGCGAAGGCGGGUCUCUGGGCAUCUCCUGACGCUGAGGCGCGAAAGCGUGGGGAGCAAACGGG
This 253-nucleotide ribosomal RNA is filed under the name uncultured bacterium. Its description in RNAcentral is "partial 16S ribosomal RNA". It matches the Rfam family "Bacterial small subunit ribosomal RNA", at positions 524 to 776 of the family's 1533-position model. The record is from RNAcentral.